Molecule: long non-coding RNA, 1020 nt
Filed under: Solanum lycopersicum (tomato)
Lineage: Eukaryota; Viridiplantae; Streptophyta; Magnoliopsida; Solanales; Solanaceae
Description: partial TCONS_00018675
Source: RNAcentral
UGCUUUGUUCGAGUACAAGGUGAAUCAUUUUGUUUUGUUUAACAGGUUUCAUAUUUGAAGUUCAAGUUGAAGAUUAACUGAAGAAGGAUUUGUUUAUUUGUUUGAAUGUAUAUAUGUCUAUAUAUUUUAUUUUUUCCGCUAUUUUAUUUAUUCGAAUGUUGUAACAAUUGUAACCCUAAGAUCAUAUAAUAAAGUUAUUUGGGGGUCGUCUAGGGGAGGGGGAUUUAUAUGCGUACUUGCUCAUUAUUUUUUUUAGAAAUCAUGCCUAUAGGUUUGUCUUUAACCACCUAGAUUUGAUAUUUGUAGGUGUUAUAAUCUAAUCAAUUUUCAAUUUGCUUGACGUUUUGUUAACAAGCCUUAAAAAAAUAAGAACUAGAGUCCAUUAAUUUUUAAAUGUUAAAAUCAAAUCCUAAUAAAUCUAGUAGGUUGUUAGAUGUUAAAAUAUUAUAAAUUCUCAUUUGUCUUAUCAUGUAGAAACCAUGUCUAAGGUUUAAUUUGUUCAUACCAUUUACAAAAUUAUGCAUAUAUGUGUUACUUUUUACACCUAGAAAUCAUGUCUAUAGGCUUGUAAAUAAACUCAUAAAAAUGAAGAUUUUUGCAAUAUGUUAUUUUCUUAAAUUUUUAUGAUGCUAAAUCAUGUCAUGCAUUUAACAAAUUAUUUGGCUUCGUCUUAAAACCUUUGCAUUUAAUAAAUUUACCAUCUUAAUGUUCUACUAGUUUUAGUACUUAUAAAAUUUUGCAACAUAAUUUUCUUAAAAGUCAUUAUUCAAUCUUCCUUUGAAAUUUUGGAUUGAUUGUGACAUUAUUUUUAAAAAAAAUAAAGUACUAUCUCCUAACCUAUCGUUAGUGGGAAAGUCAAAGGAACUAUGAGGUCUAGUUCCAAUUUUUAAACCGAUGCGUCCCCGGAAGUACCACUUCCCAUGAACUUCAAAAAGAAUUAUGUGCAUUUAUAUGUAAUUGUUUAUGUGCCUACGUGUGAACUAAAUAUUUUAAAUCAUUUGUUAAAAACAUAAAUUUUUU